Astatotilapia calliptera (eastern happy) is the source of this 784-nucleotide long non-coding RNA. The record is from Ensembl. NCBI's taxonomy places the organism in Eukaryota, Metazoa, Chordata, Actinopteri, Cichliformes, Cichlidae.
GCUUAUACUCCUUUCCACGCUUUGAGCAUUCGGGAGAGAAAAAUAUUCGAAGCACGGCAAAAGCUACUGAGCAAGAUGGAAGACUUGAUGAGGCAGGUUGCUGCUGAGAGGGAAACUGGUAAUAUAGAGAGAAUAGCUUCCACUGGAUACUUGGUGUAAUGCACUUGUCCUUUUAUUAUUGAAUAUGCCUCUAAAUCAUAGAGUGUGUGUCCGUGCAUGUGCGUGUGUGCGUGCGUGCAUUUGUACUGCAUGAUUGGCAGGAGACCUUUCCUCCAACAAGGCUCUUGCCAGAAAUAAAAGCCUACCAGAGGAAACACAAGAGCACAGGUACACAUACACUCACAUUCAUCUACAGUAAGGUGCUGCUCUAGUUCCUUUUUCCUGUUGUCUGUCAUUUAAACUUUUACUUCAACUAAUGUCAGUUUCUGGUAACUUAUUUGUGACUCUUUUCGUGUAAACCUGUUCUCAGGAAACCAGUGUUAAAGUUCUGCUUUCACUGCGGUCGCUCAGUGUCUGUGAAUCUGACCCUGGGCAGGCGCUGCAACAAGGUCUCCUACUGCUCCAGGGCCUGCAAGCUCAACUCCUGGGAAGAAAGACACAAGAAAGAGAGCGUCCAGGUAUCAGCAUCUGUUGACAGUGCCCAGAAAAGUGCUGUGUCAAAAACCCAACGAAGUCCCAGGGCUUUGUCUGCCAUCUUGAAAUCCAAAACAGCCCCCAAGCCACUGAGUGUCCAGUUCAAAUCCCAGAGAGAACUAAAGCUGUUGAGCAAGGCAGAGAAAAAGUU